Lycium barbarum (goji berry) is the source of this 486-nucleotide long non-coding RNA. RefSeq lists it as uncharacterized. Lineage: Eukaryota; Viridiplantae; Streptophyta; Magnoliopsida; Solanales; Solanaceae. The transcript has 3 exons. The record is from RefSeq and is a predicted model, not a curated record.
GGAAACAACGCAGUUUUGAAUUGAUAGAGCACCAACGUGACUUGGUAUUUUACGGAAGAAAAAUGUAGUUGUUUUUUUCUCAAGAACAAUAUUCGGAUUUUGCUCACUGCUUCGAUCUCGUUAUUCCGUCUUAUCGUGUUGUUGAAUCCAGGCUUUCUUCGUAGUGAAGUAAGGUGGAAGAAGAUUAUUUCUUGGAAUAUAAGACCUGCGAGCUCGAGAAGUAGACGUUGGACAUUAGAUAGAGUUCAAGGUAGACAGGGAGGUGAGCUUGAUCCAGAUUCUUAGUAGCUGUCAGAUGAUUGAGAGCACUCCAUUGUUCGGAGGUGCUUAUGAUUCUUCUUUUGGUAUAUAUGCAUAUUUUGGGCACAACGGAGUCUUGUUCCGUCUAUAUGUUUAGUAUGUCAGUAGAGGCUCGUAGAUACGCAGUGUGGGUCAGAUGGUCUCACACGAUGUUAUUAUUAUGUAUAUAUUAUUUUGGUGGCCGAG